UACGUAGGGUGCAAGCGUUGUCCGGAAUUAUUGGGCGUAAAGAGCUCGUAGGCGGUUUGUCGCGUCUGCUGUGAAAACUCGGGGCUUAACCCCGGGCCUGCAGUGGGUACGGGCAGACUAGAGUGCGGUAGGGGAGACUGGAAUUCCUGGUGUAGCGGUGAAAUGCGCAGAGAUCAGGAGGAACACCGGUGGCGAAGGCGGAUCUCUGGGCCUUACCUGACGCUCAGGCGCGAAAGCUAGGGGAGCAAACAGG
This 253-nucleotide ribosomal RNA is filed under the name uncultured bacterium. RNAcentral describes it as "partial 16S ribosomal RNA". It matches the Rfam family "Bacterial small subunit ribosomal RNA", at positions 524 to 776 of the family's 1533-position model. The record is from RNAcentral.